UCCCAGUGAAGAAACAUCCGGGGACAUACUUCUUGUCCCAGUCCCAGAUUCUAUAAAGAUAAACCCUCUGGGGCUGAGUGGGGGAAGGAGGAAAGUUCAUUGAAGGAGGAACUGUCUGAGGGAG
Molecule: small nucleolar RNA, 124 nt
Organism: Mustela putorius furo (domestic ferret)
Lineage: Eukaryota; Metazoa; Chordata; Mammalia; Carnivora; Mustelidae
Gene: SNORD22
Rfam family: Small nucleolar RNA SNORD22
About the family: U22 is a member of the C/D class of snoRNA which contain the C (UGAUGA) and D (CUGA) box motifs. U22 is encoded within the U22 snoRNA host gene (UHG) in mammals and has also been identified in Xenopus.
Source: Ensembl